Rosa rugosa (rugosa rose) is the source of this 1482-nucleotide long non-coding RNA. RefSeq lists it as uncharacterized. The transcript is spliced from 3 exons. NCBI's taxonomy places the organism in Eukaryota, Viridiplantae, Streptophyta, Magnoliopsida, Rosales, Rosaceae. The record is from RefSeq and is a predicted model, not a curated record.
GGACACAAGGGUGUGCUAAGGUAUGCUGCAGCACACCCCAAGAUUUUGGGGGAAAAAAAUUAAUAUAUGUAUAGUUGUAUACCGAAGUAGCUCCAGACUUUCGCUUCUGGACGUCCACAGAGCUAGUUUGGGGGGAAGAAAAGUCAACAUAUACAUAAUUAAUAUAUGUAUAAUUAACACUCUUGAAAGAACCUUCUUGUUCCCACUGUUGUUCAUCACCCAUAGUUUUGGUUCUUCUAUAAUUAAUAUAUCAUUUUCUCUCUUUCUCUAUCCUCUCUGUGCUCUCGUCCUCACAACCUUUUCACCCUUUCUCUGUUCUGCGUUUCUCAAGCUCAGAGCCUCAGACUCUCACCUCUCUCUACCAAGUCACUCUUAUCUCCUCUCCUCAAUAAUCUGCUCUCAUCUCUCAACCUUAUUCAGGUUUUGUUUUUAAUGACAGAUCAACCUCAAAAUCCUAAGCCACGAAAAGUUCAGAAUAAAGUAAAUUCAUAUUUUCUGAAAAAUGAUGUUGUUAUGGGUGAUAUUCCAAGUUCGGUUGUGGAAGAACCUUCUUGUUCUGUACGAGUUGAGUCUCAUGAAAUUGAUGUUAAUCACAUUGAACGUGAUCCGGGAAAACGCCCUGCAAUCUCGUCAUAUCCUAUUAAUGAGCGUGAUGAAGUUCAAAGAAAAUAUAUGAGUUUUAUGCUUCAGAUUUGGGUGACAAAAUGCAUCUUGUGGAUCAUAUUUUGACAAGUGUUAUGCAAUUGAGAUAUUCCAUCAAAACAAAGUAAACUCUGCCAAAUUUUUGAGAAUAAUUUUUCUUGCCAGCAUAAGGUAAAUUUAGCACACCUCAAAUUUAAUUCCUGGUUCCGUGCCUGCUCACUCCUAUAAAAAAAACUUCCCACGUCUGGCGAUGGUCUGGCCAUCGGAGAUUGGGGUGGGGUGGUUCGGAGUGUGUUGGAUCUCGGUUUCUAGUGACGGCUACACGGGAAGGGGGUGCGCGGCAGAGGAAGGAGAUUGGGGUGGAGUGUUUCCGAGUAUGUUGGAUCUCGGUUUCUGGCGACAGCUGCACGUGGAGGGGGUGCGCGGGAGACGGAGGAGAUUGGUUGCGUUGCGGCGGUCCGUUUUCCCGAUCUUGCAACUGGGUCGUUGACCUUUGAUGGUCGGUAUGGGGAGGGUGACAAUAGGUGCCCCGCUUCUGGUGUUUCUGUUCCUCAAGGGUUUGGGCAUUGAAAUUUUGAGAGUGCGGUGGUAGGGGAUGACUGCUGCUGGUUCUCUGUCGAUAGCGGUCGAGGUCCGCAGUCAUAGGUGGCGUGACGAUCUAGGAGGUGGGAAGCUAGUGGCGGUGCUGCCUAUGCAGUAAUGGUUUUGGGCCGGAUCAACAGUUUGGGCUCUCUUUGCCCUAAUUCAGUUGUUGGGUUGUCCUGGGCCUAGUGGGUUUUGAGCCUAGGGGUUCUCUCUAGGUCCAAGAUGUUCUAUUUUUCAUUUUAAAGUGAUUAGUUA